RNAcentral lists this long non-coding RNA (2192 nucleotides) under Androctonus crassicauda. The record is from RNAcentral. Lineage: Eukaryota; Metazoa; Arthropoda; Arachnida; Scorpiones; Buthidae.
AUGGAAGUUAGUUAAACAGCAUUAAAAGUUUUGUAAAGUAAGUAAAAACAUUUUAAAAAGUUCUUAGUUUUAAUUUACAGUCCUAAAUGUAGAAGUGGAUAUUUAUAAACGGCUUAACUUUCGACGAUUUUUUAAACUCUCCGACCGAAAACUGUAUAUAGUCAGAACUGGUUUCAGGCGUGAUGUAUAGUAAGUCGGAAAAAUGAUGUUUUCUGUCGAGUCGUUCGAUGAGUGUGAAAUAUUUAAGAGAGUUUUCAUUAAAUCUGCUAUCAACGUGAGUCAGUAUGAGUCAUGUGCAGGGACAAAAUCGUCCGGCGGAUGAUUAGAGGAUAGAAAACUACCUUUUUACUUUCUACCCCUUCGUAAAUGGAGAGUGUAUAGGAAUGAUUUCGUGAGUCAUACCCCCGGUCCCCGAAGAAUUUCUGUUCCGUAUAAAUCAUUAAUUCUACUCCCCCGACAAAUUCCGAUGUUCUCUUCGAUUCUAAACUCUUUUUUGUCUGUCUUUUAAACCUUUAAAAUAACUUCUUUCCGCUGUAUAAAAAUUUACAGAAAGGGAUUUUUUGUGAGCGAAUAAAUUGCAAAAUCAAUGUUUUAUAUAGAUAACAUGAUAGACUUGCGUUCCCAGCAUCCAGGUAACUCAGGUAAAAAAAAAAAAAUGUAUGCUCGAAAUGACUCUCUUCCUUCGUGUUCUGCUUCGUUUUUUUCCUUUCAUUUUUUUUUCCUUUUUCUUUCUGAAAAGUCAUUGGACCAUAUCCUAUUGGAGAGGCGAUUUGAGGGUCGCUCCACCUCUUUCCUGACUCAUAAAACUGGUCAUAGGAAAUAAGUAAGACGUCUGUACCUUAGAAAACACCUCACCUUGUCGUCAUCCGUAGGCGUUUCGACGUCACCAAUUAAAACGGUAACACUCGAACAAACCGGAUGUGACAUCACCCACUAUCUAGUCGUUAGCGUACUUCCGGAAUUUAUUAGCGUACGAUACAUUUACUUACAUAAGUUUUUCUGCAGUUUCGGUUAUGGGGAGUUUCGACAUUAUGACCAUUCAGGUUAGGACAAUGCCCCAAUUAUCUAGUCGAUCAUUUAAGUUGCGUGCUUAACACACGUCUGAACAUAUUGAUUGCUACAUAUACUGCACUCGCUACGAAAGUAAAACAGAUUGGCCACAUCCUUAAUGUGUAGAAGACAACUCAUUUAACUAAUUGAAGAAAAAUCGAAAACUUGACCAUAAAAUAUCAUCCAGUUUUCUAUCCGGGACUGUUUGCUCAACGUGAAAAAAAUACGUACCCGAAGGCGAAUCUGGUGGAAAGGAAAAUAAAAAAAAAAAAUUAAAUAAAAAUCUAUUUUGAUGUAAACGAAUUUUGAAGAAUUGUACGCGGAAUCCCAUUCACCUUAAGUGAAUGCACGGAUUAAAAAAAAUAGUUUAUGUAAUGCUUUUCAGUCGAGUCUGAUAGGUUACUUUUUGUUCGCGGUAGGGAGUUGUAUUCAGUGAUUGUACUAGCAGAGAAAAAGAAGAAAAGAUGGGAGGAGAGAACUACCACAGAUUGUAUGCAGUCUGCCUGUCUGUAAAGUGAUUCUACCUACUACUCGGACCGGGACAGUUCGCUCGCAAAAAAAAAAAGAAAAGAAACUUUCUUACUGUUAUUUGUCAUGCAAGACACUGUUAACGUUGCAAGUCGGUAGAAAGAAAGUCCGAAAAAUCGAUCGGCCAUCGAAAAUCACGUUUCUGUGUUAAAUCUGAAAUAAUUAGCGGCUCUCGGAGUGUUUAGAUUUAUGACUCAUGACCCAUCCAUGCCGCAUGCUGUGUGUAUGUGUGUUGCGUGGUUUGGAGGGCUCGCGAUGACAUGACGCCAGGGAUUUAACUUUGUUUUGAAUUAUUGAUGGAAAUCCUGGAUUUUCUGAGUCAUGCGAUGAACUGGGGUGAUUGGUCCGAAAACUCUCUUACCGACGUCUCGACUGGGUUUCAAAUUAACCCAUGUAAGUAUUUAGAGUGUUUACAUUAUUUUAAACAUUCGGGAAAGCACCUGCGACCGUUUUUCAGAACUUGAAGUGUGUUUAAACCGGUUUAAGCACUUCAAAUCUAACGUAACCAUAAAGAAUCUGGAAUUUUUUUUCUUCUUUCUUUCUUCAGGGGGGAAAUUUUGUUUCCAUCGAAAUCUUUUAUAUAUAAAUUAAAUUUCAAUAGAGAAAUAAUCCAG